RNAcentral lists this ribosomal RNA (915 nucleotides) under Camposporium ramosum. RNAcentral describes it as "LSU rRNA". It matches the Rfam family "Eukaryotic large subunit ribosomal RNA", at positions 33 to 966 of the family's 3401-position model. The record is from RNAcentral. Lineage: Eukaryota; Fungi; Ascomycota; Dothideomycetes; Pleosporales; Melanommataceae.
AUUAAGCAUAUCAAUAAGCGGAGGAAAAAGAAACCAACAGGGAUUGCCCCCAGUAACGGCGAGUGAAGCGGCAAUAGCUCAAAUUUGAAAUCUGGCUCUUUCAGGGUCCGAGUUGUAAUUUGCAGAGGGCGCUUUGGCGUCGGCAGCGGUCUAAGUUCCUUGGAACAGGUCAUCAUAGAGGGUGAGAAUCCCGUAUGUGGCCGACUGUCUUCGCCGUGUAAAGCCCCUUCGACGAGUCGAGUUGUUUGGGAAUGCAGCUCUAAAUGGGAGGUAAAUUUCUUCUAAAGCUAAAUAUUGGCCAGAGACCGAUAGCGCACAAGUAGAGUGAUCGAAAGAUGAAAAGCACUUUGGAAAGAGAGUCAAAAAGCACGUGAAAUUGUUGAAAGGGAAGCGCUUGCAGCCAGACGUGCCUGUAGUUGCUCAUCUGGGGUUCUCCCCAGUGCACUCUUCUAUGGGCAGGCCAGCAUCAGUCCGGGCGGUUGGAGAAAGACCUGUGUCAUGUAGCUGUCUUCGGGCAGUGUUAUAGGGCAGGUGGAAUGCAACCAGCCUGGACUGAGGUCCGCGCAUCUGCUAGGAUGCUGGCGUAAUGGCUGUAAGCGGCCCGUCUUGAAACACGGACCAAGGAGUCUAACAUCUAUGCGAGUGUUUGGGUGUCAAGCCCGAGCGCGUAAUGAAAGUGAACGGAGGUGGGAACCUUAGGGUGCACCAUCGACCGAUCCUGAUGUCUUCGGAUGGAUUUGAGUAAGAGCAUAGCUGUUGGGACCCGAAAGAUGGUGAACUAUGCCUGAAUAGGGUGAAGCCAGAGGAAACUCUGGUGGAGGCUCGCAGCGGUUCUGACGUGCAAAUCGAUCGUCAAAUUUGGGGCAUAGGGGCGAAAGACUAAUCGAACUAUCUAGUAGCUGGUUCCUGCCGAAG